GACCUCCUCAUGCUCAACGACAGGUUGUAUUCCUAUUCUGUGCGUACAGAAAGAGGAGGCAGAGUAAACCUACCCCAUGCACAUCUCAGCCCAGGCUACUGUACCUGGUACGUCUUGUGAGAGGGGAGAGCUGG
This is a small nucleolar RNA of Rattus norvegicus (Norway rat), 134 nucleotides long. Ensembl annotates it as small nucleolar RNA SNORA51. NCBI's taxonomy places the organism in Eukaryota, Metazoa, Chordata, Mammalia, Rodentia, Muridae. The record is from Ensembl.